AUCCUGGCUCAGGACGAACGCUGGCGGCGUGCUUAACACAUGCAAGUCGAACGCUGAAGCCUAGCUUGCUGGGUGGAUGAGUGGCGAACGGGUGAGUAACACGUGAGUAACCUGCCCUCUUCUUUGGGAUAACGCCCGGAAAUGGGUGCUAAUACUGGAUAUUCACUGGUCUUCGCAUGGGGGUUGGUGGAAAGGGUUUUUCUGGUGGGGGAUGGGCUCGCGGCCUAUCAGCUUGUUGGUGGGGUGAUGGCCUACCAAGGCUUUGACGGGUAGCCGGCCUGAGAGGGUGACCGGUCACAUUGGGACUGAGAUACGGCCCAGACUCCUACGGGAGGCAGCAGUGGGGAAUAUUGCACAAUGGGCGCAAGCCUGAUGCAGCGACGCCGCGUGAGGGAUGGAGGCCUUCGGGUUGUGAACCUCUUUCGCUCAUGGUCAAGCCGCAACUGUGGGUUGUGGUGAGGGUAGUGGGUAAAGAAGCGCCGGCUAACUACGUGCCAGCAGCCG
RNAcentral lists this ribosomal RNA (504 nucleotides) under Schaalia meyeri. Its description in RNAcentral is "bacterial SSU rRNA". It matches the Rfam family "Bacterial small subunit ribosomal RNA", at positions 16 to 517 of the family's 1533-position model. The record is from RNAcentral. Lineage: Bacteria; Bacillati; Actinomycetota; Actinomycetes; Actinomycetales; Actinomycetaceae.